This is a long non-coding RNA of Brassica napus (rape), 1845 nucleotides long. RefSeq lists it as uncharacterized. The record is from RefSeq and is a predicted model, not a curated record. The transcript has 2 exons. Lineage: Eukaryota; Viridiplantae; Streptophyta; Magnoliopsida; Brassicales; Brassicaceae.
UAUUUAUACAUAAAAAAAUAUUAUUAAGUACGCUUUUUUUAAAAGGUAGUUUUAUAUUUUAAGUAGGUUAUUGGAUUUUUCUUUUCGUAAAUUUAUUCGAGAUGAGAUUCUGAUCUUUUAAAUUAAGAUAAUUUGUGUUCUAUACAAAAUUAUAUUUUUUUUACAUAACUCUAAAAUCUCGGACUUGAUUCUUCAUAUUUUAUUAGUUAAUUGUGUUACAUAUAAUAGAAAUAUUUACUUCAAACUAAAAAUAUAAAAAAAAAUCAAAUUUAAAAAUUGAUUAUAUAUAAUUUAAUAUAGAAAAAUUUACAUACAAAUAAAAAUGAUAAAUGUAACAAAUUUAAAUAUAUUAUCCGCGCGUAGCGCGGAGAAAGGAUCUAGUACUAUUAAUAAUGAGAGGAAUGGCGUCACGUGAAAGGAGUUUGUGGGAACCCAUUUGGGAUUUAUAUAAAUAAAAUGAAUAAAUAUCCGUACGGUGCAGUCGUACAUGUUAACCUAACCCACUCCAACUUUUUUUUUUCUUCCUUACGUGUCAUACCGUACAAACCAACGUGACUAGUCUUCAAAAUUUAAUUUAAUGUGAAUAGAUUAGAUUAAAGAAUGAUAAGUGUGCGUCAUGGAAGUUACCUUAUUGCAUUAGUUUGACUGAAAAGUUAUCCUACUAUAUAAAAGGAGCUAUUUUAAAGGCUUCUAAAGUGUGCCACAUAUGCAAAAAAUUCCUGGCCAAUCAAUCUAACAGCUCAUCUCAAACUGGGCUGAUAUCCAUGUCAAUUACGAAGCCCAAACAAUUUAUUUAAAUCCCAGUCAAUACUGAAGUCAGCCCAAUAUCCAUUUACGGUAUAUGAUAUCAAGAAACUAAGAAGCUCAUUCUAUUUUAUGAAAUUACAUGCUUUUGUUUAGUCUUUCGCCACAGUGACCGGAUGCGUGUUGAAUCACAAAGCUUCUCACGCAUCCCAUUAUUAUACUAUUUCAAUUGAGGUUCUUAGUGUUGUUCUAACUUAUAUUUAAAAAUAAAUUUUAUUAAAUGUUAUAGAUUUUACUAUUAUCUUAAUAAAAUUUAAUAUAGAUUUGAUAUAUAUUAUAUCAAAUUAUAUAAAACUAAUAAAAAUGAUAUAAAAUUGUAUAAUUAUCAAACAUUUGGCCUAAACAAUAUUUUUAAAAUUUUGUAGAUAUAUAAGAAACUAAAUAUCAUACGAUUAGAUAUUAGAUGUUUAAGAAUUGCAUAUUUUUAAAAGCUUUAGUAAUACAAAUUGUAUAAUUAUAUAAAAAUAAUAAUAUUACUAAAUCUGGAAUGGUAUAUAUGAAUAUAUAUUUAUUUUAUAGAUGAUGCAUAAGAUAUUACCAACAUUAAAUAAAAUUAUCCGUCUCAUGUUUAUUUUUUUAAUUGUAGAGAUGGCAUGUAGCAAAAUGCCCAAAAUGACCCUAAUACCCUAGAUAUAUAGAAAAUAUAAAAAAUUUGAAAUAUAAUACAAUAAUUAUUUGUAGAUAACUGGUACGUUAAACUUUGUGGGACAAGGAGACGUCUAAUUUCAGGGAGUAAAAUCGCAUAUCUACCAGAAAAAACUAAAUCGUAAUCAUCACAAGUGUCAUUCUACGGUUACAUGAAGGGAAACUAUCACUCACAACCACACCUGGAUCGCGCUUCUACUUUGACAACAAUAUUGAUAUCAUACAACGCUUCCAAAAGAAGAAUAAAUGUCUAUCCUAAGCUUCAUAGCAAACGACACCAGUCAACUUUUUUAAAAUUUACGUUACAGCUUUCUACGUCAAUUAAAUAGGCACACUCAAAUACUAUUUUCUCUUACGAAUAUUAAAUUCAUCAACAUAAUUUAUUAUUCAAACUUA